RNAcentral lists this transfer RNA (76 nucleotides) under Rubrivivax sp. RNAcentral describes it as "tRNA-Lys". It matches the Rfam family "tRNA". From Rfam's summary of the family: Transfer RNA (tRNA) molecules are approximately 80 nucleotides in length. RNAcentral also lists the same sequence under 2 other names. Lineage: Bacteria; Pseudomonadati; Pseudomonadota; Betaproteobacteria; Burkholderiales; Sphaerotilaceae. The record is from RNAcentral.
GGGCUCUUAGCUCAGUUGGUAGAGCAGCGGACUCUUAAUCCGUAGGUCGGGCGUUCGAAUCGCCCAGGGCCCACCA